This 207-nucleotide ribosomal RNA is filed under the name uncultured bacterium. RNAcentral describes it as "partial 16S ribosomal RNA". It matches the Rfam family "Bacterial small subunit ribosomal RNA", at positions 568 to 774 of the family's 1533-position model. The record is from RNAcentral.
CGCGUAGGCGGUUUGUUAAGUCGGAUGUGAAAGCCCCGGGCUCAACCUGGGAAUUGCAUUCGAUACUGGCCGACUAGAGUACGAGAGAGGGAGGUAGAAUUCCACGUGUAGCGGUGUAAUGCGUAGAUAUGUGGAGGAAUACCGGUGGCGAAGGCGGCCUCCUGGCUCGAUACUGACGCUGAGGUGCGAAAGCGUGGGCAGCAAACA